Long non-coding RNA from Engraulis encrasicolus (European anchovy), 153 nucleotides. RefSeq lists it as uncharacterized. The record is from RefSeq and is a predicted model, not a curated record. Lineage: Eukaryota; Metazoa; Chordata; Actinopteri; Clupeiformes; Engraulidae. The transcript is spliced from 2 exons.
CUUGCCCUCAGAGUUCACAUAUGGUUAAGUGCACAGGUGUCCAUCCAGGUUCAUGCUGAUGCUGGUAACAAGAGGAAAACAUGCUGAUUGGAAUGAUUCAACGAUGGACACUUUGCUUAAUUGUGGAAAAAAUAAAUGGAAAAACGUCUAUGA